Alosa alosa (allis shad) is the source of this 2110-nucleotide long non-coding RNA. RefSeq lists it as uncharacterized. The transcript has 4 exons. The record is from RefSeq and is a predicted model, not a curated record. NCBI's taxonomy places the organism in Eukaryota, Metazoa, Chordata, Actinopteri, Clupeiformes, Clupeidae.
UGUAGUUAACAAUCAGUGAAGAAAAAUUUGUUUUUCAGUAACUAACAUGGAGGAACCAAGGAGAUUUAGUCUAAUUUAGAUAAAUUAUUUGACAAAAAAAUAGUCUUUUAUAUGAUUGAAGGCCUCAAUACAAAAGUCCUUGGGAAGAUGCAUGAAAUGAAAGAGUAUAUGUGGUCACCAUGUGGUGUCACCAUGUGGUCACCAUGUGGUCACCAUGUGGUCACCAUGCGGUCACCAUGUGGUCACCAUGCGGUCACCAUGCGGUCACCAUGUGGUCACCAUGUGGUCACCUAUGAUAGCGAUGCAGACGAAGACUGUAAAGAGGACAGGAAUGCAGGUGAUGGUCAGGGUCAGGCGGGGUGGGCAGGUGAGGAGCAACCUGGCCCAUGGGGAGGUCAUUUCUGUGGAGCAGAAGAGACAAGACAGGCAAGACAGAGGGAAUUAUCAGUCAUUUGUCUAGGUACUGAUAGAUUCAUUGCAGAACAAUAUCUGAAAACAUAAUCAAAGUGUAAGACAAAAUCUCAUCACUACGGAAAAUUGAACUAUAGUUUUGUGUGUGUGUGUGUGUACGGUAGGUAUAGUGGUUAACUGCAAAUAUUGCAAUGACUUUUCCUUAACAUUGUAAUCUAGGAUAGAGCUCCAUACUUAUAAGCCUCCUUGGUCGCUAAUAGACUGAUCAGGCUAAAAAGUCAUGACCCUAACCUGUGUCCUUCUCUGAUCCAUCUUUGGGGAGAGUGAGCCCCACCUCACAUUCUUCCAGAACUGAACCCUGCUCUGAGAGCUUCCGCUGUGGAGCCAGGCUUGGAGGCAAAGACACGCUUGCUGGUUGAUGAUCUUGUUCCUCUGACGUUGACGUUGGCUGGCUCUGAAUGGGCUGUUGCUCUUUUGUCUCUGAUAAUGUGUCGCAUGCGGGUGCAUGUAUUGCUGAGCUUGGUGGCUCUGCUGAAGCUAGUUUGGUGUCUGUUGUAAGCUGAAUUAUUUGAGUGUCUGCAUGUAGGUCACCAGCUGAAGGUAGUGGGGUGUUGUGUGCUGGCUGGUUGGUUGGGGGCCGUUGGGAACUGAGGGGCAGCUGUGUGCCUGUAAGGCAGAAGCAGUGUGUGGCGUCCUGGGUGUUUGCUGUUGGCUGUUGGGUUGAGGACAGGGUUCGUGCCAUGUGGGGCAUCAUGGCUGAUAGCGUGUAAGGGGCUAACUGAGACACCCCCAACAUCCGGGGCCUUGAUGGGGCUUCGGUGAUCUGGACGUUUGAGAGGGGGAUGAGUCCUGUCACACCUUGAUCCGUGAGCGGAAGGAUCAGCUGGAGAGUGGCUGGCUGAGAGGAGGAAGGGAACAGUGCUGGAGUCACUGAGGGAUGCUGGGAAAUGGAGUUUUGGGCCGAGAGGCAAAUGGCUGGCUGAGAGGAGGAAUGGAACAGUGCUGGAGUCACUGAGGGAUGCAUUUGGCUGAAAGGGAGACACUCCUGUGGAGAGACACCAGACUGUGGGACAAUAGUGCCCUCUGUUGGACUGGAGCAAGAAGUACCCUAUUGCACAGGUGCAUGACAUAAGAAGGGAAAAAACAUCGUUUGUAGGUACUGUAACUGUAUAUGGGCAUGGAAGCAGUUACUGUGCCAACCACAUCUCCCUGGCCAGAACACACAGCAGCUCUUACCUGAGACUGAGCCAUGAAGAGGGAGCGAGGGAGCGAGGGAGCCAGAGAGCGAGGGAGCCAGGGAGCCAGCGAGCGAGGGAGCCAGAGAGCGUGAACAUGCUUUCCUGCUCACCUGUACCUACCUACGUCCCUCCGUAAUUCAUCCGUUGUGUAAUUGUCUCCAUUGUCCCAACUGAGUCGCCCUCUCUUCUUCAGCUGCUGGUAAUCCCUCUAUUCUUGUGUUAUGAGGAUGGCGGGGAGGUCAGAUGCAAUCGAUACGCGACCUGGCAGGGGACCUCAUGAAAGAUGUAUGGUGGUGAUCGCACAGUUGGGUCAGAGUUUAACACGGCAGCAGUGGAGGAUUUUGAUGAAGGCCUUGCGGAACUCGAUGUUGAAGGUGGUGUAGAUGACGGGGUUGACAGCGCUGUUGAGGUAGCCCAGCCAGGUGACCACGCUGUACAGGGACGGCGAGAUGCAGCAGCUG